UUGCCGCGCCAAACCCUAACCCUAGAGGGCUUGCCGUCGUCGACUCUGCUGCCAUGGCCAAGAAGCGAAAGCUCACGCCUUCCUCUGCCGUCAAAGCGCCCGCGCCCGUCGUAGAACCCAAGGAGGAGCCCGUCCAAGAAGAGUCCGGCCCGGAUGUCCCGAUCGAUGAGUCCCAGGAGGAACGAACCCCGACCGGAGCCGAUGCGAACCCUCCGGUCCAUGAGAACGCCCAAUCCGACGCGGCCUCUGAAGACCUUGGUGGCGCCUCCGCCGGGGGCGUCGGUGUCGGCAACGACGCGGAGGAGGUGGUGGAGAACGAUCCGACCUCGAUCCAGAAGCUCCUCGAGCCAUUCCCCAGGGACCACCUGGUCGAGCUCCUUCGCGACGCCGCUGUGAGGCACCCGGACGUGCUGGCGGAGAUCCACCGCAUCGCCGACCUGGACCCUGCCCACCGCAAGAUUUUCGUCCAUGGCCUCGGUUGGGACACCAACGCAGAGACGCUCACCGCCGCCUUUCGCCAAUAUGGCGAGAUCGAGGACUGCAACGCGGUCAUGGACAAGGCGACCGGCAAGUCCAAGGGUUAUGGCUUCAUCCUCUUUAAGCACCGUGCCGGCGCCCGCCGCGCCCUCGAGCAGCCUCAGAAGAAGAUCGGCAACCGCGUGACCGCGUGCCAGCUCGCGUCCGCUGGUCCUGUGCCACCACCAGCACCGCCGGUGUCGGAGUACACCCAGAGGAAGAUUUUUGUCAGCAACGUUGGGGCGGAGAUCGAUCCCCAGAAGCUGUUACAGUUCUUUGCCAAGUUUGGGGAGAUCGAGGAGGGGCCACUAGGGUUGGAUAAGCUGACCGGGAAGCCCAAGGGGUUUGCUUUAUUUGUUUACAAGACGAUUGAGAGUGCAAAGAAAGCAUUGGAGGAGCCCCACAAGAAUUUCGAUGGUCACAUUCUGCAUUGCCAGAAGGCAAUCGAUGGACCGAAGCCAAACAAGCUGGGGUUCCAGUUUCAGGCUACAGCGGCUCACCAUGGUAGCUUGCAUCAGGUUGCUGGUGGACUGCUUGGUUCACACUUUUCGAGGACUGACAAGCCCGGGUAUUUGGGAGGUGUCGGGAGUCAUCUGUCUAGUGCCUCAGGUGCUGGGCACCUGAUGGCCCCUUCAGCGAGUGGAUUGGGUUUCAACCAGGCUUCUCAACCAGCUGCUGCUGCAGUGGCUGCAGCAGCAGGGUUGAAUCCUGCAUUGGGGCAGGCUCUGACUGCAUUCCUUGCGUCUCAAGGAGCUGGUUUGGGCUUGACGAACCUUGUGGCAGGAUCAGUCGUGAACCAGGGAGUUCCUGGAUCAUUGGCAAACAGCUCUGGGCAUGGAUUGAACAGUGGUUAUGGUGGUGGCCUUGGGGGAAACAUUAAUACGGGGGUGAUCGGAGGAUAUGGCUCACAGGCACAUACGCAGGGUGGAUAUGGGAAUGCUUCGAUUGGACAGGGAGGCGCUGGAAGGAACCAAACAGGAUUUGGGCAAAUGGGUGGCCUAGGCCCUUACCUGGGUCGUUAGUUAAGUGCAGUGCGUGAAACAUGCAGGUUAUGUAAAUUGCUUGGUCAUUCUCAAGUUGGUGAUAGAGAUGAUGCAUGCGUCAAGGUAAAAGGGAAAAAUGUGUUCUUUAAUAUGCAUGGUUAGUCAUUAUGUGGGGAUGAUGAGAUAUAUGACUGAUCUGUUCGUUCUUGAUUAAUGCUAUUUAUCAAACUUGGCUGUCGGCAGUGAGAUAAUUAUUUCAAAAGAUAUGAUUGAAUCCAAAUUUGUGAGGAUGAAACAGGACUUGAUAUAUGAUUGUUCAGUUGCCAGUUCGUUACACGCCCACUUUCUUGUGCUCAUAACCAGCACAAGUUGGAUGUCUGAGGGUUCAAAAGAAUAAUUGUGGUUGUGGUAUUUGUGCCUACUAACCUAACUGGUAAGGCAACCUUUGAACUGGUGUUGAGGAAUUCAUAUAGAAACUAACUGGUCGAUAUUCUUUUUUGUUUUCUAUUCAUGAAAUUUAUUGAUGUGUUCUCAUUCGUGUUAUCUAAUGAUCUCAAAAGACAAUUCUUCCAGCAUCAUUCAAGCAAGUAUUACAUCAUAUAAAGAUUAUGAUGACCUACAUAUGUACGUGUGUCAAUUGUUUUGUUUUGAUAUCAUACGGUGCUGAGUUGCAUGUAUUAGAAACUUGGUGUGGUACUGUAGCCUGUGAGAAAUUAUCAGUUUUCUGGAAUUUUCAUGCAUAAAAUGUGUUCAUCAGUGUCCCAAGUAGGAGUUGAUGUCUUUGGACCAUUUCAGAUGAUUUAUCUUUUGGCCGGUAGUAUGGAUCUGUGUUUAUGAGAAUAAAUCUGACACUUGGUCUGAGGAUUAACUUAAAUCAUUUGAUAAUUUGAGUCAAAUUUAACACAAAACUGUCUGUUAGACGAGGGGUUUACUUGUAACCGAAUUAUUUGACUGCAACAACCGAUAAUUACUUGUAACAGUCUGUUAGAUAACGUUUGCCCCGACUGAGUACAUGACUGGAGGAUGUGGCCUACAUCGAGCGCAGUCCCUGCCGAUUUCCUUCAUCCCUCGAAUCGUCCUCUAAGUCGGGAGAUUCUGUUUUAGUUAAUUAUCUCUUUGUCCUCUCUAGCCAUGUUUAUUCCUAUUCUCUACUCCGACCUUUUCUCCCCUCCAUGCCGAGGAGGAGCGGAAGCGGAGACCCCUCUCGAUACUCGCCUCCUCCGCCAUCUGGCCUUCGAGAUCUCAGAUCCGUGGGUGUACGGUUCGCUUCUGAAAGCGAAGAAAACGAAAACGAUGGGGCUUUACCUUUGCAAAACUCUUUAGCCGCCUGUUUGCGAAGAAGGAGAUGAGGAUUUCUGGACUUAUUAUGCGCAGGUAUAUACAGAGCACUUGCGCAACAUCUGGUGAGGGUUUGAGGGUUUGUACGAGGGACUUGAUUGGCUUUCCGGCAACAUAGCCUGCAAGAUGACAGAUGCCAUCUGCUAGGUCUCAAAAUGAUUGGAUCAGAUGCCGAACUUCUCAGAUAUAUUACCGGUAAGGUGAGGCUUGGUGCAGGCAAGAACAUCACCUUCUGCAUCUUGAGAGCUCAUUCUUGAUAUAUCCUCCCUAUGCAUUGGGGCUAAUGGUUUGCAAUCAAAUGCCAUUUCAACUUGAAAUAUUUUGUAGGCAAGAACAUUUUGACCUGCUGUAGUUUGAAUCUAGAAAUUCAUCAUCAUCUGUAGACAAGUGCAACUGAUAAAUGAUGUGGACUGAAUUCUGAGGGUC
This is an RNA transcript of Musa acuminata AAA Group (dessert banana), 3263 nucleotides long. It is a transcript of the gene named RNA-binding protein P, with no coding region annotated. NCBI's taxonomy places the organism in Eukaryota, Viridiplantae, Streptophyta, Magnoliopsida, Zingiberales, Musaceae. The record is from RefSeq and is a predicted model, not a curated record. The transcript has 4 exons.